Molecule: RNase P RNA, 371 nt
Filed under: Thermoleophilia bacterium
Lineage: Bacteria; Bacillati; Actinomycetota; Thermoleophilia
Description: RNase P RNA component class A
Rfam family: Bacterial RNase P class A
About the family: Ribonuclease P (RNase P) is a ubiquitous endoribonuclease, found in archaea, bacteria and eukarya as well as chloroplasts and mitochondria. Its best characterised activity is the generation of mature 5'-ends of tRNAs by cleaving the 5'-leader elements of precursor-tRNAs.
Source: RNAcentral
UCCGUGAGUUGGACGGCUGCGGGGGGAGAGAAAACCCUUCGAGGAAAGUCCGGACACCAGAGAGCGAGGACGGUGGGUAACACCCACCCGGGGAAACCCGCGGGACAGUGCCACAGAAAUACACAGCCGAUGGCGCAGCCACACGUGAGUUGCGUACAGGCAAUGGUGAAAAGGUGCGGUAAGAGCGCACCGGCGUCGUGGUGACACGGCGGCCAGGUAAACCCCGUCCGGUGCAAGACCAAACAGAAUCGUUGACCCUGCUCGGCGAGAUUCAGGUAGGUCGCAGGUGCCUUCGGGCCCCGCUGGCGUGAUCAGCCGGCGAGAUAGAUUGUCGUUCAAGACAGGAUCCGGCUUACAGACUCACUAAGCAA